CUCGGCCGCUUCUCUCAGAGAAUAUAGAGCGGCAGCUCUCAUGUCUCUCCAUUCUCUGUAACAAAAAAAACAAAAAAAAGUUUAACAAAAAGCUUCCGGUUAUGUUUAUUUUAACAAAAAACUACAAUUUUAGAUUAAAAAAAUUAAUUCUGGUACUAUUUACUUUACUAUUUAUUUUGUCACUGUCGUUAAAACUCAAAAUUUUCAAACAUUUUUUUAUUAGUUUUUCUAAAAACAAAACAACCUCUGCCUAGCUCUCUAGUCAUUUAAAUUCUUCCAAUGGUUCUGGAUUUGUCCAACCCAAAGCAAAUACCCAGCCGUGCCUCCAUAGCUGGAUUUCUGUCAUUUCUUCCCAAAUCUCCAUGUCUCUGGAAAUUGAAGCUUCAAUCCGUCGAAUCAAUGUACAAGUGCACACCAAUGUUCAACCCAGAAGUCAUGCAGAAGCCCAAAAAUUCAUAGAUCCACCCCCAAACUUAGUCUCGAUCCAUAUCCAUCGAUCUGCAUCUAAGCCCUCUGUCUUCAGCCAAAACAAGAUAUAGCUCGCUGCGAUCAAUCACUGCCCACAUUCAAGCCAUCCUUGCUGCAAAUUCGUCAUAGUCUCAGGUUGGCUCCCAAAUCAGAAAUCCAGUACUCAGAGCCAAAACCCACAAGAGUCUUGCAAGUGACGGUGAUAGCAAAGAUGAAGAAUACGAGGCACAACAAACUGGAAAUCUGGCGGACAAAAAACUGGUGGAUUUCACGAGAUCCUCAGUUUCGGAACUAAAAAGGUAUAAAAUAU
This is a long non-coding RNA of Pyrus x bretschneideri (Chinese white pear), 778 nucleotides long. RefSeq lists it as uncharacterized. The record is from RefSeq and is a predicted model, not a curated record. The transcript has 3 exons. NCBI's taxonomy places the organism in Eukaryota, Viridiplantae, Streptophyta, Magnoliopsida, Rosales, Rosaceae.